This is a long non-coding RNA of Micropterus salmoides (largemouth bass), 265 nucleotides long. RefSeq lists it as uncharacterized. Lineage: Eukaryota; Metazoa; Chordata; Actinopteri; Centrarchiformes; Centrarchidae. The transcript has 2 exons. The record is from RefSeq and is a predicted model, not a curated record.
UGGGGUAGGAAACCUCAGUUGAGAGUUGCAGGUGUAGAUGUGCACAUGGUGAAGUUUUCACCUGUGUCUUCGCUUUUCUUUCUCCCCCGAAAGCAAUGGCUUUUCACUCAUAAGUUUUCACCUGUCGAACAUGAAGAUCAAAGUCAAUAAAGGAGCAAGGCGCCCGCUUCCUGGCUCGUGAAAAUUGAGUUUGGCUGGCUGUUGACGUAACGGAAACAGUACACACUAGAGCUAAGUUAAUAAAAUUAUUUUUAAAAACUAACAA